ACGGAGGAUGCAAGCGUUAUCCGGAAUCAUUGGGCUUAAAGCGUGCGCAGGCGGAAAGAUAAGUCUGUGUUUAAAUUUCAGGGCUCAACCCCGUAAUGGAUUUGAAACUGGUUGACUUGAGUACAGUUGAAGUAAGCGGAAUUCCCACUGUAGCGGUGAAAUGCGUAGAUAUGGCACGGAACACCAAUGGCGAAGGCGGCUUACUGGGUUGUAACUGACACUGAGGCGCGAAAGCGAGGGGAGCAAACGG
Molecule: ribosomal RNA, 250 nt
Filed under: uncultured prokaryote
Description: partial 16S rRNA
Rfam family: Bacterial small subunit ribosomal RNA
Source: RNAcentral